GUCGAGAGGCUUUGGCAAUGGGGGAAACCCUGACCAAGCGACGCCGCGUGGAGGAUGAAGGCCCUUGGGUUGUAAACUCCUUUUGUCGGGGAAGAAGUGCGAUCAGGUGAACAAUCUGGUCGUUUGACGGUACCCGACGAAUAAGCUCCGGCUAACUCCGUGCCAGCAGCCGCGGUAACACGGGGGGAGCAAGCGUUGUUCGGAAUCACUGGGCGUAAAGGGCGUGUAGGCGGAUAGGUAAGUGGGAUGUGAAAUCCCUCGGCUCACCCGAGGACCUGCAUCCCAAACUGCCUGUCUUGAGUACGGGAGAGGAUGGAGGAAUUCCUGGUGUAGCGGUGAAAUGCGUAGAUAUCAGGAGGAACACCGGUGGCGAAGGCGUCCAUCUGGCCCGAUACUGACGCUGAGGCGCGAAAGCUAGGGGAGCAAACGGGAUUAGAUACCCUAGUAGUCC
This 451-nucleotide ribosomal RNA is filed under the name uncultured bacterium. Its description in RNAcentral is "bacterial SSU rRNA". It matches the Rfam family "Bacterial small subunit ribosomal RNA", at positions 354 to 796 of the family's 1533-position model. The record is from RNAcentral.